RNAcentral lists this ribosomal RNA (387 nucleotides) under Chaetoceros sp. RNAcentral's name for it is "partial small subunit ribosomal RNA". It matches the Rfam family "Eukaryotic small subunit ribosomal RNA", at positions 582 to 975 of the family's 1831-position model. The record is from RNAcentral. Lineage: Eukaryota; Bacillariophyta; Thalassiosirophyceae; Chaetocerotales; Chaetocerotaceae.
AUUCCAGCUCCAAUAGCGUAUAUUUUAGUUGUUGCAGUUAAAAAGCUCGUAGUUGAAUUUCUGGUGGGAAGAUGCGGACGGCCUCAUGGUUUGUUCCAAGUCUUCCGGCCAUCCUUGGGUGGAGCUCGUCUGGCAUUAAGUUGUCGGGCGGGGGAUGCCCAUCGUUUACUGUGAAAAAAUUAAAGUGUUCAAAGCAGACUUAUGUCGUUGAAUAUAUUAGCAUGGAAUAAUAAGAUAGGACAGCAGUGCUAUUUUGUUGGUUUGCGCACCGUUGUAAUGAUGAAUAGGGACAGUUGUGGGUAUUUAUAUUCACUUGUAAGAGGUGAAAUUCUUAGAUUAAGGGAAGAUAAACUACUGCGAAAGCAUUUACCAAGGAUGUUUUCAUUA